UUAAGCGACUAAGCGUACACGGUGGAUGCCCUGGCAGUCAGAGGCGAUGAAGGGCGUGCUAAUCUGCGAUAAGCGCCGGUAAGGUGAUAUGAACCGUUAUAACCGGCGAUACCCGAAUGGGGAAACCCAGUGUGACUCGUCACACUAUCAUUAACUGAAUCCAUAGGUUAAUGAGGCGAACCGGGGGAACUGAAACAUCUAAGUACCCCGAGGAAAAGAAAUCAACCGAGAUUCCCCCAGUAGCGGCGAGCGAACGGGGAGGAGCCCAGAGCCUGAAUCAGCAUGUGUGUUAGUGGAAGCGUCUGGAAAGGCGCGCGAUACAGGGUGACAGCCCCGUACACAAAAGCGCAUGUGCUGUGAGCUCGAUGAGUAGGGCGGGACACGUGGUAUCCUGUCUGAAUAUGGGGGGACCAUCCUCCAAGGCUAAAUACUCCUGACUGACCGAUAGUGAACCAGUACCGUGAGGGAAAGGCGAAAAGAACCCCGGCGAGGGGAGUGAAAAAGAACCUGAAACCGUGUACGUACAAGCAGUGGAGCCCCACCACUAAGCCAGUGGUGAACUCCACAUACGCAUCCUUUGCUGAGGAUACGGUUAACGGAGCGAAAGCGACGUUCAACCGCAAAAGAAGCAGAGGGGGCUUAGUGGUGGGGUGACUGCGUACCUUUUGUAUAAUGGGUCAGCGACUUAUAUUCUGUAGCAAGGUUAACCGUAUAGGGGAGCCGGAGGGAAACCGAGUCUUAAUUGGGCGUUAAGUUGCAGGGUAUAGACCCGAAACCCGGUGAUCUAGCCAUGGGCAGGUUGAAGGUUGGGUAACACUAACUGGAGGACCGAACCGACUAAUGUUGAAAAAUUAGCGGAUGACCUGUGGCUGGGGGUGAAAGGCCAAUCAAACCGGGAGAUAGCUGGUUCUCCCCGAAAGCUAUUUAGGUAGCGCCUCGUGAAUUCAUCUCCGGGGGUAGAGCACUGUUUCGGCUAGGGGGGCCAUCCCGGCUUACCAACCCGAUGCAAACUGCGAAUACCGGAGAAUGUUAUCACGGGAGACACACGGCGGGUGCUAACGUCCGUCGUGAAGAGGGAAACAACCCAGACCGCCAGCUAAGGUCCCAAAGUCAUGGUUAAGUGGGAAACGAUGUGGGAAGGCCCAGACAGCCAGGAUGUUGGCUUAGAAGCAGCCAUCAUUUAAAGAAAGCGUAAUAGCUCACUGGUCGAGUCGGCCUGCGCGGAAGAUGUAACGGGGCUAAACCAUGCACCGAAGCUGCGGCAGCGAACGUAUCACUUAAAGCGAUUCAGCGGGUUACGAUUGACGGAGCGAAGCGACGUCAAAGCGUAUACAAAAGUCGAGUCGGUUUAAGGAUACGUUCGUUGGGUAGGGGAGCGUUCUGUAAGCCUGUGAAGGUGGCCUGUGAGGGUUGCUGGAGGUAUCAGAAGUGCGAAUGCUGACAUAAGUAACGAUAAAGCGGGUGAAAAGCCCGCUCGCCGGAAGACCAAGGGUUCCUGUCCAACGUUAAUCGGGGCAGGGUGAGUCGACCCCUAAGGCGAGGCCGAAAGGCGUAGUCGAUGGGAAACGGGUUAAUAUUCCCGUACUUGGUGUUACUGCGAAGGGGGGACGGAGAAGGCUAUGUUGGCCGGGCGACGGUUGUCCCGGUUUAAGCGUGUAGGUGUGUGUUCCAGGUAAAUCCGGUUCACUUUAACACUGAGGCGUGAUGACGAGGCACUACGGUGCUGAAGCAACAAAUGCCCUGCUUCCAGGAAAAGCCUCUAAGCAUCAGGUAACAUCAAAUCGUACCCCAAACCGACACAGGUGGUCAGGUAGAGAAUACCAAGGCGCUUGAGAGAACUCGGGUGAAGGAACUAGGCAAAAUGGUGCCGUAACUUCGGGAGAAGGCACGCUGACACGUAGGUGAAGUGAUUUACUCAUGGAGCUGAAGUCAGUCGAAGAUACCAGCUGGCUGCAACUGUUUAUUAAAAACACAGCACUGUGCAAACACGAAAGUGGACGUAUACGGUGUGACGCCUGCCCGGUGCCGGAAGGUUAAUUGAUGGGGUCAGCGCAAGCGAAGCUCCUGAUCGAAGCCCCGGUAAACGGCGGCCGUAACUAUAACGGUCCUAAGGUAGCGAAAUUCCUUGUCGGGUAAGUUCCGACCUGCACGAAUGGCGUAAUGAUGGCCAGGCUGUCUCCACCCGAGACUCAGUGAAAUUGAACUCGCUGUGAAGAUGCAGUGUACCCGCGGCAAGACGGAAAGACCCCGUGAACCUUUACUAUAGCUUGACACUGAACAUUGAGCCUUGAUGUGUAGGAUAGGUGGGAGGCUUUGAAGUGUGGACGCCAGUCUGCAUGGAGCCGACCUUGAAAUACCACCCUUUAAUGUUUGAUGUUCUAACGUGGACCCGUGAUCCGGGUUGCGGACAGUGUCUGGUGGGUAGUUUGACUGGGGCGGUCUCCUCCUAAAGAGUAACGGAGGAGCACGAAGGUUGGCUAAUCCUGGUCGGACAUCAGGAGGUUAGUGCAAUGGCAUAAGCCAGCUUGACUGCGAGCGUGACGGCGCGAGCAGGUGCGAAAGCAGGUCAUAGUGAUCCGGUGGUUCUGAAUGGAAGGGCCAUCGCUCAACGGAUAAAAGGUACUCCGGGGAUAACAGGCUGAUACCGCCCAAGAGUUCAUAUCGACGGCGGUGUUUGGCACCUCGAUGUCGGCUCAUCACAUCCUGGGGCUGAAGUAGGUCCCAAGGGUAUGGCUGUUCGCCAUUUAAAGUGGUACGCGAGCUGGGUUUAGAACGUCGUGAGACAGUUCGGUCCCUAUCUGCCGUGGGCGCUGGAGAACUGAGGGGGGCUGCUCCUAGUACGAGAGGACCGGAGUGGACGCAUCACUGGUGUUCGGGUUGUCAUGCCAAUGGCACUGCCCGGUAGCUAAAUGCGGAAGAGAUAAGUGCUGAAAGCAUCUAAGCACGAAACUUGCCCCGAGAUGAGUUCUCCCUGAGACUUAGAGUCUCCUGAAGGAACGUUGAAGACGACGACGUUGAUAGGCCGGGUGUGUAAGCGCAGCGAUGCGUUGAGCUAACCGGUACUAAUGAACCGUGAGGCUUAACCUU
Molecule: ribosomal RNA, 3087 nt
Filed under: Salmonella enterica subsp. enterica
Lineage: Bacteria; Pseudomonadati; Pseudomonadota; Gammaproteobacteria; Enterobacterales; Enterobacteriaceae
Description: bacterial LSU rRNA
Rfam family: Bacterial large subunit ribosomal RNA
Source: RNAcentral